CCUACGGGGGGCAGCAGUGGGGAAUAUUGCACAAUGGGGGAAACCCUGAUGCAGCGACGCCGCGUGAAGGACGAAGUAUUUCGGUACGUAAACUUCUAUCAGCAGGGAAGAAAAUGACGGUACCUGACCAAGAAGCCCCGGCUAACUACGUGCCAGCAGCCGCGGUAAUACGUAGGGGGCAAGCGUUAUCCGGAUUUACUGGGUGUAAAGGGAGCGUAGACGGCCAUGCAAGUCUGAUGUGAAAACCCGGGGCUCAACCCCGGGACUGCAUUGGAAACUGUGCGGCUGGAGUGUCGGAGAGGCAA
This 305-nucleotide ribosomal RNA is filed under the name uncultured bacterium. RNAcentral describes it as "bacterial SSU rRNA". It matches the Rfam family "Bacterial small subunit ribosomal RNA", at positions 338 to 660 of the family's 1533-position model. The record is from RNAcentral.